AUCUAACUGAUGAGCCCUAAGUAGGACGAAAUGUACAUCCUGGAU
This 45-nucleotide non-coding RNA is filed under the name Schistosoma mansoni. The record is from RNAcentral. Lineage: Eukaryota; Metazoa; Platyhelminthes; Trematoda; Strigeidida; Schistosomatidae.